This is a long non-coding RNA of Drosophila miranda, 461 nucleotides long. RefSeq lists it as uncharacterized. NCBI's taxonomy places the organism in Eukaryota, Metazoa, Arthropoda, Insecta, Diptera, Drosophilidae. The transcript has 2 exons. The record is from RefSeq and is a predicted model, not a curated record.
UGGUAUUAAAACAAACCAGUCAAGUAGAAAAUUGAUUAAUUUAUUGGAUAAAAUUAUGUGGGCAGGACUGAGAGAUCUACCUAGCUAGUAAUAUUAGACGGAAUAUUAAAAACGGGGAAUAGUACAAUAGAACUUGAAUUCGUCGGUAUAUCUAUUGUAUAUUUGGGUAUAUUUCUGAUGGUCGGACAUUAUAUUUUAACAAUAAAUCCGCGGCACACUUUUGUUUAGCUUCCGAAUAAAUAUAUUAUUAAGUGAAAUGGAGGCUAUUUUAAAUACGCAGUUUCAGCAGCUGGAAGAUAUCAUCGGGGAAAUAUUAAAAGUAAAAAAAGAGCGGGCAGAACUCAGACACAUUGCGAACUGCGGCGGCAUUGAAAUUUGUUGCAUUAAAGCAUGCAAAUCGAGAAGUUAAACAGAAAAUAAAGUCUGGACGGGAUAACUUACACUUGGAAAAAUGUAAAGUG